CAGUCGCCACGGUAAUACAGAGGGUGCAAGCGUUAAUCGGAGUUACUGGGCGUAAAGGGCGCGUAGGCGGUUAUAUAAGUGAGAUGUGAAAUCCCUGGGCUUAACCUAGGAACUGCAUCUUAUACUGUAUGGCUAGAGUAUUGUAGAGGGUAGUGGAAUUUCCGGUGUAGCGGUGAAAUUCGUAGAUAUUGGGAAGAACACCAGUGGCGAAGGCGACUCACUGGACCGACACUGACGCUGAGGCGCGAAAGCGUGGGGAGCAAACAGGAUUAGAUACCCGUGUAGUCCCUGUCUCUUAUAC
This 301-nucleotide ribosomal RNA is filed under the name uncultured bacterium. Its description in RNAcentral is "partial 16S ribosomal RNA". It matches the Rfam family "Bacterial small subunit ribosomal RNA", at positions 509 to 807 of the family's 1533-position model. The record is from RNAcentral.